This 433-nucleotide ribosomal RNA is filed under the name uncultured bacterium. Its description in RNAcentral is "partial 16S ribosomal RNA". It matches the Rfam family "Bacterial small subunit ribosomal RNA", at positions 29 to 507 of the family's 1533-position model. The record is from RNAcentral.
AACGAACGCUGGCGGCAGGCCUAACACAUGCAAGUCGAGCGGACCUUUCGGGGUCAGCGGCGGACGGGUGAGUAACGCGUGGGAAUAUGCCCUUCUCUACGGAAUAGUCCUGGGAAACUGGGGGUAAUACCGUAUACGACCUUUGGGGGAAAGAUUUAUCGGGGAAGGAUUAGCCCGCGUUGGAUUAGGUAGUUGGUGGGGUAAUGGCCUACCAAGCCGACGAUCCAUAGCUGGUUUGAGAGGAUGAUCAGCCACACUGGGACUGAGACACGGCCCAGACUCCUACGGGAGGCAGCAGUGGGGAAUCUUAGACAAUGGGGGCAACCCUGAUCUAGCCAUGCCGCGUGAGUGAUGAAGGCCUUAGGGUUGUAAAGCUCUUUCAGCUGGGAAGAUAAUGACGGUACCAGCAGAAGAAGCCCCGGCUAACUCCGUG